RNAcentral lists this ribosomal RNA (241 nucleotides) under uncultured bacterium. RNAcentral describes it as "partial 16S ribosomal RNA". It matches the Rfam family "Bacterial small subunit ribosomal RNA", at positions 524 to 762 of the family's 1533-position model. The record is from RNAcentral.
UACGAAGGGGGCUAGCGUUGCUCGGAAUCACUGGGCGUAAAGCGCACGUAGGCGGAUUGUUAAGUCAGGGGUGAAAUCCCGGAGCUCAACUCCGGAACUGCCUUUGAUACUGGCGAUCUUGAGUCCGGGAGAGGUGAGUGGAACUGCGAGUGUAGAGGUGAAAUUCGUAGAUAUUCGCAAGAACACCAGUGGCGAAGGCGGCUCACUGGCCCGGUACUGGACGCUGAGGUGCGAAAAGCGU